CAACAACAAGGCAGUGGAGUACGCCACUGCUGCACGCAACAACAAGGCAACAACGCAGCCAAACAUCUCACCUGCUGAAAAUCUUGUGACCCGCUGCUACCCGCUAGCCCCCGCCCGCCGGAGUCGCCGCCGCGAUGCCCGCCCGAUCCGCCGGGGCCAUCGGGCUCCUCCUCGUCCUCCUGUCCGCCGUCGCGGUCGCCGCCGCCGCCGGGGAGGGGAAUUGGCGGGAGGAGCAGGCGCGGGACCGGGUGCCGCGGGUGCCGGGGCAGGCCUUCGACACCAGCUACGCGCACUACGCCGGGUACGUCACCGUCAGCGAGCCGCGGGGCGCCGCGCUCUUCUAUUGGUUCUUCGAGGCCGAGAAGGACCCGGGGUCCAAGCCCCUCGUGCUCUGGCUCAACGGAGGUACGGACGGCACCUACCCCCACCCCGCCCAACCGCCGCGCAACGUGUGAUCCGGUUCCGUUUGGUAGUACUGUCGACUGUUUGGAUUUGAGGGGUGAAUUUGAGGGCGGCGUAGAAUGCAUCGUUGUGAACUGUGAACGGCGCGCGUGAUCCGUGCUUGGGGCUAGCGAUUCGGACUUGGGAGUAUGGGUGGCUCCGUUAUUUUGGGGAACGGGGCGGGUGAUCUGACAUCUUCAGAUGGGAACGGGGGAUUCGAGAGUGAUGCCUUGCGUUCCCAGUGGCAACUGCACAAGUACCAUGAUGCUGCGUUUGGGAAGGGAGUUAAGAAUACCCUGUUUCCUGAAAGGGUAUCUACAAGAUAAUACUCCGUAAUCUUGUAAAUUUACCAGUCGAAAGAUCUUUUAACUAUAAAUAGCAGUAUAGCACCCGUGUACCUUUCUCCACCCACCCUUUUCAUCGCAGUAGUCAUGAUAUUUCUGUAUCAACUGUCUCUGUCUUGAUACAAGUGGCUGGCAGUGAAUUUGUGAAAAAUGUUACCCUUGCGCUAUUGAUAAACUCAUCCAGGCUAUGUUCCUCUUUACUCAAGUUUAUCUGUUGAAGUCAGUUAAAUUACUGUAUGUAAUCUUCCAGGGCCUGGAUGCUCGUCCAUUGCCUAUGGACUUGGAGAAGAAGUGGGACCUUUCCAUGUUAAUGCUGAUGGAAAGGGGGUACACGUGAAUCCUUAUUCUUGGAACAAAGGUACCAGUCAAUUAAACAAAGUUUGUUCACGAACGAUAGCACCAUUUUCUGUUUUCAAUUUCUCUAUAUGUUGUCAUGUAUCUUUUCUUGAGCCUUUUGUUUCUGGUCUGCACGGAUUGUUUGAUUGCAGAUACUAUCAGUAAACUGCAACUUUUUCCUUUUAAACAAUAAACCUCACUUGAGGCAGCAAUUUACUACAUCUUCAGAAUUCAACUUCAACAAUAGCAUAGAUUCUUUGUUUUCGCAGUGGGCACACCAUUUCUGAUAGGCAUACUGGUGGGCUGGUAUAUACACUAUGGGAAGAGUCACAACUGUGAAUAGGUAUACUUGAAAACCCUUUUUUUCCUUGCAAUAAGGAAGAAGAAGAGGUUUUCAAGUAUGCCUGCCAAUUUCUGCAUUUUGGAUUUGGCUCAGUAACUUUCGUGUCAUUUGCCUUUUUUAUAUGCCGAGCUCAUAUUUAUUCAUGUUUCACUUGUAAAUUGAUAGGUUGUCCAUCCUUAAAUUGUAAGCUCAACAUUCUUGGCACAAAUUAUUUCCUUUAGUCAAGAAAUUGAUUCCAUCUCUGUUAGAUGCAAAGUGCAACUUCACCAUUGAAUUCAUAAACCAUUUUUAAUUGCUCAUAAUCAUAUUGAAUGAAGCUUUAGUUUCAGUCUUAUAAUACUUUUUCUGUUUUAACAAAACUGCAAGUAUUACUUUUCUAUAGCUAAACUUAUCAUUCUUCUAUUUCUUCCCUUGAGAAACAGAGAAUAGCUGUAUAUCAUUUCAUUAGUAAAAGAAAGCUUAGCAGUUCUUAUACACUCAUGGAGUCCAGCUUUAUCCCUCAAUGACAGAUUUGUUAAUAAUUCUUUUAUUUUGCAGUUGCAAAUUUAUUGUUUGUUGAUUCACCUGUUGGUGUUGGUUACUCAUACUCAAACACCUCUGAUGAUAUUUUAAGAAAUGGGGAUGCGAGGACUGGUACUGUAAUCCCUGCACUAUAUAUUAUCUCGUUUACAUGAGAUUUCUGGUCCUGAAUGUUGCGUCAUUAGAUUUUGCUCACUGAUUCUCUCAAUGUUCUAUAGCCAAGGAUUCUUUGGCGUUCUUACUGAAGUGGCUUGAACGCUUUCCUCAGUACAAGGGGCGUGAAUUUUAUUUGACUGGAGAGAGCUAUGCUGGUCAGUAGCUUUUCUUCUAUGAACUUCUGUUUCAUGUGUAUUAGCAACUUCUUUUACUAAAAAAAUAAAAAAACUGAUGGAACUCCAAUUUGGUUAGGUCACUAUGUUCCUCAACUGGCUCAAGCCAUAAAAAGGUACCAUGAGGCGACGGGCGACAAAUUGAUUAAUUUAAAGGGCUACAUGGUAUGGUUUUGUCGUUUUGGUGAUUCUACUUUUACUUCUCCAAUGCCAUCAUGUAUUUUGAUAAUUCAGGAAUAUCCCUUUUUGUUGGCCAAAUUAGAUAUUUCUAGUCAUAUUUGUAAUUUCCUCUGCAGUUUUUGUUGUCCCUUAUGUCCUGUGUCUUUUUUUUUAUAAAAGAACCUUAAACUUUUGAUUCCCAAAUUGGGUACAUAUCUGCUGCGGUCAAGGAAAAUUGGAUGCUGGCCUUAUUCAAUGGUGGACUGACCUUUAGCUGUUUCCCAUUUAGAUGAUGUUGUGCUAAUUACUAUAUUUCCUCUUUGUCUUUGCUUUCUUGGCACAUCAAAGGAGAUCAUUUGAUAGCUUGCCUUCAACUUCUUUUUUCCAUUUAAGACUAUAUUUUCAUCAGUGGGGCUAUAAAGUAAUACGAGUGUAAUUAAUCAAGUGGCCACAAGUAUAUUGUCUGUAUAGAGAUGCAUUUUGAACUGUACCAUGAAUCCAUGAUGCGUUAAACUAGGAGCCAGAAUUCUAGUCUCGUUUCAUUAUAUCUAAGUCAUUUUGUGCAGGUUGGAAAUGCUCUCACUGAUGACUUCCAUGACCACUAUGGAAUAUUUCAAUUCAUGUGGACUACUGGCUUGAUCUCCGAUCAAACAUACAAGCUGCUGAACAUUUUCUGUGACUUCGAGUCCUUUGUGCAUACGUCUAAACAGUGUGACAAGAUUCUUGAUAUUGCUAGCAAGGAAGCUGGAAACAUUGAUUCAUAUAGCAUCUUCACACCUACAUGCCAUGCAACUUUUGCCUCCUCAAAGAACAAAGUGAUGAAAAGGCUACGUGUAAGUUUUUGAUAUCCAAAACUCAAGCAAUAUCACAUAAUUUCAAUUUAUACCUUAUACUAGCAAGGAGCACUUGCGUUGCGAUGAAUCUCAAAUAAAGUUACUAUAAGUCCUAAAUGCUCGUGUUGACCUAAUCAUCAUACACAGGCAGACAUAUUUGAUUUUAGAAAUUUAAGCAGUAAUUAUUAGUACCAUAGAUUAUGUGAAUUCUCUAUUGAGGAUCCUAAUGCCACAUCAAUAUGUAUACAUGAAUGGACACAGAAAAUUUCCCAAGGUGAAGGUGGUAAAACCUCCAAUCAUGAGCAUCUCUAUUUCUUAUAGCAAUAAAGAUAUAUCACUGCAUUUUGAUUCAGCUGCAUAUUCAUGUGUAAGUUGCAUGAUUGCUGCUUUCUCCAGAACAUGAAAAGGAAUACUGCAGACUGUUUUCACUUAGCCUUUUUUUCAAUUUUUUUUUAAAGGAGUUCCCCAUAUCGGUACAACUUUGACUACACAAACUAGAGCGAAAAGGAAUGUCUCCACCUGCAGGUCACAAUUGAAUCUGCAUUCCAGUAUUCGCAGAUCUUACUGGUGAGGGGUGGAGGUUCGCCACAUCAGGAGAUUCGGGGUACAUGUAUAUUGUUUUUAAGUGGAUUGCAUGGAACACUAUUAAUGUUACAUGAGGCAGGAGGCUUUUUAAAGCAAGAUUGAAAAUUUAAAAGGAAAAAUUGGAAGUCCACUGCAAUGUGGUGAGAACUAUUGGAUUAGGUCUCGCAUCUAGUUCUGGCUGGGAUCUGCAGUUUUGAUUUCAAUUUGUGAACCCCGAUCUACAUAGUCCAUUCUGUGUGUAGUGCAAAUGGGCACUUAUGAUAUUUAAACUGUUCUCAUUCAUGAACCGACAGUUCCACAUAUCUUCUAUAUAUCUGAUUCAUAAGCAUGAUUUCUUUUUAUAGUCUGUUGGAAAAAUGGGAGAGCAGUACGACCCAUGCACUGAAAAGCAUUCAACUGUGUACUUCAAUCUAGCUGAGGUCCAAAAGGCACUUCAUGUUAAUCCAGUGAUUGGAAAAUCAAAAUGGGAGACAUGCAGGUAACUGUUAUGAUUGCAUUUUAGACAUCUGUUGCUGUCAUUAUCCUGACAUGUUGGAACCUGAAUUCUUCUUGAUGAAUUAACAAGAGAUUCAGCUUAUAAAUUUCCAUUCUCAUUGGAAUGGUUCUUAUAUUUUUUUAUUUGUAGUAAUACUGUUUAUUUUUGGCAAGAAUAAAAAAUUAUCGAUUUUAUUUCCCACUGCAUGAUGUAUGGUUAAUUGGUUAUUGAUCUUAUUACUGCCACAAGAUUUUUUUUAUUUGGGUCCUUGUACUGCCAAUUCUACUGUUAUAUGUUUAUGCUUUUCAAUAUGAAUAUGCAUUACUUGGACUGGACUUUUCAUUUCUCAAGGUUAUUUCAUAUUUUGCACUAACUGAACUGGGAAACAUGAAUACCAAUGGCACAAAUACCUAAUAAGCAUAUUAGGAAACAUGUUUAUUUUGUCAUCCAUCUUUUAAUACUAUAUUUUGGGACUGAUAUUCUCUACAGUGGAGUCGUUAAUAAUCAUUGGGGGGACUGCGAAAGAUCUGUGCUGCAUAUCUAUCAUGAACUUAUACAGUAUGGCCUUCGUAUAUGGGUGUUCAGGUGAUUCCUAACUCUAUGGACUUUUAAAAGAAGGUUGCUAUACCAUCCAAGUGGCUCUUAUAUGUUCUUUAGCAGAGUUUUAAGAAUAAUUUUGGUUUGCUCUAAAAAAGGAAGAAUGGGUUCGGUUUCUUGGCUCAUCUAGAAAAAUGGCAUAGCUUAGUUCUACUACCUUCAGUACUUUUGGUCCAAUAACAUGGUUGCAUGCUGUAACAAUGAUGUAACACUUCUUUCAAGGAACUAAUUUAUUUAUUCAUAUGAAGGUUGUGAAAGAAAGUAACACAGAUUAAAGAUAAAGAUGUUUUGUCUUUUUUUUUCUAAUUUUUUUGUUUCAAAUUUUGUGCAGUGGAGAUACAGAUGCAGUGAUUCCUGUGACAUCAACUAGAUAUAGCAUUGAUGCUCUGAAGCUUCCAACAGUAACUCCAUGGCAUGCUUGGUACGACGAUAACGGAGAGGUAGGGCUUUUAUCACCUCAACCUAUCAUUGAGUCCGUUAAGCAUAAGCACAUGGUCUUGAACCUGUAGAAGUCUGUACCUACUUGGCCACCUAAGUCAGAUAGGAAAUUCCCAAAUCUUGGUCACAUGCUAUACUUGUAAUGUUGUCCUUUUCAAAUGGGACCCACUAUAUUUUACGGGCCCUUGCAAUGUAAAAUUCUUUAUGUCAUUUGUGAUUUCUCGCUACAAAAAUAUGUUCUUCUUUGGAGUAUCCAUCAACCAUUCCUAAUUUCUGAUUCUUGUAUGUUUGAAUAGGUUGGUGGCUGGAGUCAAGGGUACGAGGGACUCACCUUUGUGACUGUUAGGGGUGCAGGCCAUGAAGUUCCUCUUCAUCGGCCCAAACAGGCUCUCACACUCAUCAAAUCAUUCUUGGCUGGGACUCCAAUGCCUGUGCAAUCCAGUGCCCACAGCGACAUGUAACCUGUACUGCUACAACUGAUUCAAGACAUGGCCAUCAUCAAAGUUCCAUCUCAGCCAAGUCAGUCACUUGUUUGAACCCCACUUG
This 5945-nucleotide long non-coding RNA is filed under the name Setaria viridis. RNAcentral describes it as "long non-coding RNA (SVIR_LNC003887)". Lineage: Eukaryota; Viridiplantae; Streptophyta; Magnoliopsida; Poales; Poaceae. The record is from RNAcentral.